Molecule: small RNA, 544 nt
Filed under: Pan troglodytes (chimpanzee)
Lineage: Eukaryota; Metazoa; Chordata; Mammalia; Primates; Hominidae
Description: retained intron
Source: RNAcentral
CUAUUUUUAAGAAUUGCAGUCAAUGUAGAAGGAAAAGAUAACAAUUUCAGUGUCCAUCCUUUUUGUAGUGAUGAGGAAUUUAAAUCCACCUUCAUCAAACUGGGAGGUGGAAAAGUUGAGCUGUGACCUGAAGAUCCAUGGUUUGCAACAAGAGCUGGAACUGAUGAGGAAAGAAUGUAGCGAUCUCAAAAUAGAACUACAGAAAGCCAAACAAACGGAUCCAUAUCAGGAAGACAAUCUGAAGAGCAGAGAUCUCCAAAAACUAAGCAUUUCAAGUGAUAAUAUGCAGCAUGCAUACUGGGAACUGAAGAGAGAAAUGUCUAAUUUACAUCUGGUGACUCAAGUACAAGCUGAACUACUAAGGAAACUGAAAACCUCAACUGCAAUCAAGAAAGCCUGUGCCCCUGUAGGAUGCAGUGAAGACCUUGGAAGAGACAGCACAAAACUGCACUUGAUGAAUUUUACUGCAACAUACACAAGACAUCCCCCUCUCUUACCAAAUGGCAAAGCUCUUUGUCAUACCACAUCUUCCCCUUUACCAGGA